RNAcentral lists this ribosomal RNA (460 nucleotides) under uncultured bacterium. RNAcentral's name for it is "partial 16S ribosomal RNA". It matches the Rfam family "Bacterial small subunit ribosomal RNA", at positions 338 to 795 of the family's 1533-position model. The record is from RNAcentral.
CCUACGGGAGGCAGCAGUGAGGAAUAUUUGUCAAUGGACGCAAGUCUGAACCAGCCAUGCCGCGUGCAGGAAGACGGCUCUAUGAGUUGUAAACUGCUUUUGUACGAGGGUAAACGCAGAUACGCGUAUCUGUCUGAAAGUAUCGUACGAAUAAGGAUCGGCUAACUCCGUGCCAGCAGCCGCGGUAAUACGGAGGAUUCAAGCGUUAUCCGGAUUUAUUGGGUUUAAAGGGUGCGUAGGCGGUCGGAUAAGUUAGAGGUGAAAUCCCGAGGCUCAACUUCGGAAUUGCCUCUGAUACUGUUCGGCGAGAGAGUAGUUGCGGUAGGCGGAAUGUAUGGUGUAGCGGUGAAAUGCUUAGAGAUCAUACAGAACACCGAUUGCGAAGGCAGCUUACCAAGCUACUUCUGACGUUGAGGCACGAAAGCGUGGGGAGCAAACAGGAUUAGAUACCCGAGUAGUC